UUGAUUCUUGAAAGCUUUUUGCCGCAGCCCUUUUCGCAUCUUAGUGUGAUCAUGGGGUGUCCCUUUCUCUCUCCCCGGACGCCGUUCCAGUAGUAGCCUUGAUGCCGAUUGCUCGCUUUCAGACUCAUUCCUCGAUUCUUGAUCUCCGCUUGUGUUGAGUGGAGACCGAUCAAAUUAUGUGCGUCAGAUCGUUUGUAUCGAAUGAGACUGUUACGGGAGGAACAUUGCCGCCGACGGUGAUGUCUGCUAGGGCUUGCAAGGGCGAGAUCAAGCUGCCAAGUCGUCUCGGUGAAGUUCAUCUCGAAUGUGAAGUGGACGCAGUCCCAACCGGCGAUCGGGAGCGGAAAGCGCGCCCCUCGAUCUUCAGAUCAAGGUUGGCGACUAGUUCAUAUCUUGAAGAUGCAAGACGCCAAGUUCAAAAUUUUCAUAUAUAGUCACAUUCAGGUUGGCGGAAGUUCGUUCGUCACUAAACUAGUGAAGGUGAUAAGAUCGGCAAGGUUGUUAGCGGUGCAAAAACUAGCAAAUUAUGAUCAUGAAUUAAAGUAAGACUUAAGGGAGGCAGCGGCUUCAAUGUCUUCUUAAGUUGAGAAAAAUGAUCUGUUGUGUCCACCAGCUUUGAAUAUUCGGACUAUAUAUGAAUACAGCAAGUGUCUAAGAACUAAACGGAGGAGGUGA
Molecule: long non-coding RNA, 675 nt
Organism: Nymphaea colorata (pocket water lily)
Lineage: Eukaryota; Viridiplantae; Streptophyta; Magnoliopsida; Nymphaeales; Nymphaeaceae
Exons: 4
Source: RefSeq, a predicted model, not a curated record